This 253-nucleotide ribosomal RNA is filed under the name uncultured bacterium. RNAcentral describes it as "partial 16S ribosomal RNA". It matches the Rfam family "Bacterial small subunit ribosomal RNA", at positions 524 to 776 of the family's 1533-position model. The record is from RNAcentral.
UACGUAGGUGGCAAGCGUUGUCCGGCUUUACUGGGCGUAAAGGGAGCGUAGGCGGACUUUUAAGUGAGAUGUGAAAUACCCGAGCUCAACUUGGGUGCUGCAUUUCAAACUGGAAGUCUAGAGUGCAGGAGAGGAGAAGGGAAUUCCUAGUGUAGCGGUGAAAUGCGUAGAGAUUAGGAAGAACACCAGUGGCGAAGGCGAUUCUCUGGACUGUAACUGACGCUGAGGCUCGAAAGCGUGGGGAGCAAACAGG